Molecule: long non-coding RNA, 486 nt
Filed under: Androctonus crassicauda
Lineage: Eukaryota; Metazoa; Arthropoda; Arachnida; Scorpiones; Buthidae
Source: RNAcentral
UGAAUUCAAAAGCUCAUGACUGUUCUCCCAGUGACCUGGUACUGCUUCUGUUUCUAUUCGCUUUGGUUUUGAGUGUGGUGUCAGUGAGUGUGGAGAGCUAGGUUAGCUAAAGCUAGGUUUACAUGCAUGCGAUCUGCUGCACAUUUUGAUGUGUGCACAGGAUUAUUAUAUUAUUUUGGCAAUUGCAAUAUUGCAAUUAAUUUUUCAAUAUGUACUAUUAAAUUACUCAAGAGCCACAAGUAUGAUUCUACUGAGCCGCAGGUUGCCGACUCUUGUUAUAAUGCUUUGACCAUAAUUCCUUUGAUGGGAUUAAAGAAUAGUUUUAUGACUUCUGCUUUGUUUCAUUUUAAACAUUAUAGUGCCAAAAAGAUGUGAGCAUUGUACCUAAUAGGAAUCAUUUCAGAAAUAUAUUGGAAGUUAAAGGCAGGAGAAAUAGUCCUCUGUUAUGAAAAAUAGUUUGCAUAAAACAUUGAAAAUGUAAACCAG